GACGAACGCUGGCGGCGUGCUUAACACAUGCAAGUCGAACGGAAAGGCCCUGCUUUUGUGGGGUGCUCGAGUGGCGAACGGGUGAGUAACACGUGAGUAACCUGCCCUUGACUUUGGGAUAACUUCUGGAAACUGGGGCUAAUACCGGAUAGGAGCUCCUGCUGCAUGGUGGGGGUUGGAAAGUUUCGUCGGUUGGGGAUGGACUCGCGGCCUAUCAGCUUGUUGGUGGGGUAGUGGCUUACCAAGGCUUUGACGGGUAGCCGGCCUGAGAGGGUGACCGGCCACAUUGGGACUGAGAUACGGCCCAGACUCCUACGGGAGGCAGCAGUGGGGAAUAUUGCACAAUGGGCGGAAGCCUGAUGCAGCAACGCCGCGUGCGGGAUGACGGCCUUCGGGUUGUAAACCGCUUUCGCCUGUGACGAAGCGUGAGUGACGGUAAUUGGUAAAGAAGCACCGGCUAACUACGUG
RNAcentral lists this ribosomal RNA (468 nucleotides) under uncultured bacterium. RNAcentral's name for it is "partial 16S ribosomal RNA". It matches the Rfam family "Bacterial small subunit ribosomal RNA", at positions 28 to 507 of the family's 1533-position model. The record is from RNAcentral.